UGACCUCGGAUCAGGUAGGGAUACCCGCUGAACUUAAGCAUAUCAAUAAGCGGAGGAAAAGAAACCAACAGGGAUUACCUCAGUAACGGCGAGUGAAGCGGUAAGAGCUCAAAUUUGAAAGCUGGCUCCUUCGGGGUCCGCAUUGUAAUUUGCAGAGGAUGUUUCGGAAGCAGCCCCCAUCUAAGUACCCUGGAACGGGUCGUCAUAGAGGGUGAGAAUCCCGUAUGGGAUGGGGUGUCUGCGUCCAUGUGAAACUCCUUCGACGAGUCGAGUUGUUUGGGAAUGCAGCUCUAAAUGGGUGGUAAAUUUCAUCUAAAGCUAAAUAUUGGCCGGAGACCGAUAGCGCACAAGUAGAGUGAUCGAAAGAUGAAAAGCACUUUGAAAAGAGAGUUAAAAAGCACGUGAAAUUGUUGAAAGGGAAGCGCUUGCGACCAGACUCGCCUCGGGGGUUCAACCGGCAUUCGUGCCGGUGUACUUCCCCCGGGGCGGGCCAGCGUCGGUUUGGGCGGUCGGUCAAAGGCCCUCGGAAUGUAACGCCUCUCGGGGCGUCUUAUAGCCGAGGGUGCCAUGCGACCUGCCCGGACCGAGGAACGCGCUUCGGCUCGGACGCUGGCAUAAUGGUCGUAAGCGACC
RNAcentral lists this ribosomal RNA (633 nucleotides) under Penicillium sp. NRRL 28156. RNAcentral describes it as "eukaryotic LSU rRNA". It matches the Rfam family "Eukaryotic large subunit ribosomal RNA", at positions 1 to 649 of the family's 3401-position model. Lineage: Eukaryota; Fungi; Ascomycota; Eurotiomycetes; Eurotiales; Aspergillaceae. The record is from RNAcentral.